AUUGGCUCCUCGGGUGAAUGGUUGCCAGGAGACGAGUAAAUCUCCCCCCCCCAGGGAAGGGGCGGAGGGCGCCAAGGAGGUAGCACUGCGCAGGCGCAAUAGAGAAGGGCUGUGUCGAAGCUGCCUUUUCGCUUCGGAGUCUCUUGGACACCUUCCUUUCUACUUUCCUCUACAUUUUCUUCUGCAGAAUAUACCUGUCGUAUAACUUUUCCCUAUCGCUGCUUUCCCCGUCUCUGUCCUCCUGUCUCGAAGGCCAUUUGUUUUGGGUUUCUCCGGGGGUUGUCGAGCUGGUUCUCCCCAGGUCCAGGAGCGGAGAGUGAGAUGCCCACUCAGAGGGCGUUUAUUUGUGAAGGCGGAAAAAGGCAAGGCUUCUGGGUACUGGGAACCUUUCUGAUUACCCAAGGAAAUUGGCUGAAGGUGAAGACGUAGUCUUGGAGAAAAGGCGCAGUUGGUUCGCUGGCCACAGGGACCACCUGUGUGCAGUUAGUGCGACUGCAGGCUGCAGGGAAUCUAUCACCAAUCCUGGGAACCGCUACUGCUUUAGCCUACUCAGGAUACCACAGGACUUGGUCGUGUGAAUUACAGCCCAAGAAAGUUCAAGAAUGGCUCAAGAUUCCAUCAAUUAGAAGCAACAGGGUCUGGCCUUGCUCGUGCCUUAGUCUGAAUCAAAUCUGAGCGCUGACAUUCCAAAAGCUAGCAUCAUACAAGUCCAGUGUAAUGAUGAUCUGGCACCCACGGUGAAGUGAGCUCAUGUUCUAGAAAUCAUCAUGAUGCAUGCUUAGCAGAGGUCUAUGAAAUGCUUCACAGAUAGAAGAGCCUGAACAACAUCUGUGAUAGAAACCACCAUCGGGGUCCAUUCCACACAGUGUUCAUCCACACACAUCUCAGCCCGUAGACAGGGAGCUCUGGAAGGACGGGGUACUUCAGUCGUAACUGAAGCCACCCAAGUGGGCAGAGGCUUCUACUGCUGCUUCCUAUCAUGUGUCUGGUCAGAAGCAUUAUCAAAGAGUAAGAAGGGGUUUAAUUGGAUCAUGGACCCAACUCCAGUGCAGUCACCUCUACCCCCACUCAUUAUAGCUGAGUCAUGCUCAGUGCCUAUAGACUUGAUUACCUCAGGCUUCCCAGCUACACUAGCCUGAGAAAGAACAGCUGCCCCAGCCCCCACCAAAAAGCUGAGUGACUACCCUAAGAGCCCAGCCACAGGUCACAGUAUUCCCAAGACCUAGCUCAUACACUUGGGAAUUUUCAUUAUAUAUAGAAUUUUCGUGCCUAGGGCUGGGAAUUUAGCUCAGUGGCAUAAGCACCUGUCAGGCACGUGCAAGGUCAUGAGUUCGAUCCCCAGUACCAAAAAAAAAGAAAAGAAUUUUUGUGCCUAAAUCACCAAAUAUGAAUUCCUCUAAGCUUCCAAUUUAUACAUUAUUAUUUUAUUAAUAAUGUUAAUUACAAAAGAGAGUUAUUACUAGUUUCCUGAAGAUUGACUAUGUGUUAAACAUUGUAUUAUACCUUCUGUAUGCAUUACCUUAAGGAAUCAUCACAACAAUAAAGACCAUUGUCAUUCCUGUAUGAUCAACAAGGAAA
Long non-coding RNA from Cavia porcellus (domestic guinea pig), 1578 nucleotides. RefSeq lists it as uncharacterized. The record is from RefSeq and is a predicted model, not a curated record. Lineage: Eukaryota; Metazoa; Chordata; Mammalia; Rodentia; Caviidae. The transcript is spliced from 2 exons.